Molecule: long non-coding RNA, 580 nt
Filed under: Ananas comosus (pineapple)
Lineage: Eukaryota; Viridiplantae; Streptophyta; Magnoliopsida; Poales; Bromeliaceae
Description: long non-coding RNA (ACOM_LNC043422)
Source: RNAcentral
UGACACAAUGACAUAGAUCGAGUGGCAUUCGAUAAAGUUAAAGUGAAAUGACACUAGAGAUGGUGUGAGGUAAAGAACCAAUGUAUUGUAAAGAAUGAUAAAAAUGACAAUGUUUAAAGUUAAAGUAAUGUGGGGAGUAAAGAACAAGAAGUGCUAGAGGUAGCCAAAAGUAAAGAAUGUAAAGAAUAUAAUUACUAGAGUUAGCAAGAGUAAUGAAUGGUAAAGAACAAUGAUUGCUAGAGUAGCAACAUAAAGUGAUGUAAUGAACACUAGAGCUAGUGUAAAGUCAAGAUUGAACUUAUAAAUCCUUUGAGUUAAGGAUAUGAUCAUACUUGCUAUGAGUUCCGUGCUCGAGGGCGGUCGCUCCCCCUCGGGCGAUGCGCUCCGGAGUUAUGCAUCACGGGUUGGAGUAAACCCGAAGGACGGUCCUAGCGGGUGAGUUCCUGCGAUGAUGGACUUAAUGUGAAGCAAGUUAAAGUAAUGUGGGGAGUAAAGAACAUGAAGUGCUAGAGGUAGCCAAAAGUAAAGAAUGUAAAGAAUAUAAUUGCUAGAGUUAGCAAGAGUAAUGAAUGGUAAAGAA